Apis cerana (Asiatic honeybee) is the source of this 14975-nucleotide long non-coding RNA. RefSeq lists it as uncharacterized. The record is from RefSeq and is a predicted model, not a curated record. NCBI's taxonomy places the organism in Eukaryota, Metazoa, Arthropoda, Insecta, Hymenoptera, Apidae.
AACGAAUAAUAAUAAACUUUGUCGUGUUUACAUUUCGACGGAGCGAGAACGUUCCCGUUUAUACGAAAGUUUAGUCGAAAGAUUUCUAUUGCGCGCGACGGAAUACGUAGCGUAGAAGGAGCUUGAGUGAAAUUGCGUUGGAAUUUCCUUGUCUUCUUUCCCGUGAUCUUUGCUUUCGAAGUGAUAAUUUAAUUAGUGCGUGUGAUAAUUUCGUCUUGUUUUUUUGUUUAUUUCUGGUGUUUAUUCGUGAAUUGCUUCAAUUUUGGAAGAAACGUAACGAGGAUAUUGUUCGAAAAUUUGUUGUGAUAAUGGAAAUUUGAAGUAAAUGGAAGGAGAAGGAUUCAUUCUUUGAGAGCGUGGAACAAUUAAAAAAAAAAGCAAAGUUGCGCAUCGCGUUAUCAGUUACAUAUCGUUUUAUUUCAUUUUUUUCUUAAUCAUUCACGAAUUUCAGGAUCGGAAACGAGAAUUUCGGUGGAGAGGAAACGAUAAGUUUGUUAGGAUAUGUCAAGGUGGAAAAGAUGGAAAGAAGGAAAAUCAAGGAUGAUCGAGGAUGAUAUUGAUUUGAGUCGUUCCAAGUGGCAAGGAUCAUUUUUAACAUGAAAAUAAGAGGUUGAUUGAAAAUUAAUCGAGAAUCGAAUAAAGAAUAUUCCGCGAUACAAUCGAACCAUCAACCGUGUUAUCAACGGGCGCAUGUAGGAGCAUUAUUUAUUAUUUCGAUCACCAUUCCAUAUAGAUCCUUUGUCGGGCGGAAAAGAGAUCCUUUAAUCCGAAUGACGUCGUUAUUGGUAUGUAUAGCUAAGAUAAUGGGGAUAUAUUCGUUUAUUUUCGAUAAGAUAUUACGAGGAGGAUACAAAGAUUUUUAUGGCCGGAAUAAAAAAGCGAGGAGAGUAAAGAGAAAAAUAUUUUUCCCAUCCGACCUCGUAAAAAUCUGCGUGCGCGAUGACGGUGGAAAUAAAUCAGCGGAGGUGGUUGGUUUAUCGUGAAGGUAGUACCAUGUAACUAAUUCAUUCGACCGUGAAAUCUGUCUGUGCCUGUUCGGUUGUAUAUUUUUUUAAAACAUUGUUGAAAAAAAAACGAUAUUUUAAAAAAAAGAUAUCACGAUAACGUUAUCAUACGGUAAUGUUUUAUAUAUAUAUAUGUAUAUCAUAUUUGACAAGAAUCGAAUUUCAGGAUAUUCCAAACAUCGAUAUUCUCAGAUAAUCGAGAAACGAACUUUGGGGUUGAGGAUCCGAUAAUAGCGAAUCUUGAAUCACGCGACGCGAAAGCAACAACUUGCAGAUCCCGAAAACUCGAUAAGAAGGGGUUUGUGCAUCGUCGCAAGAAGCAAUUUGAUAUUCCUUCUUCGCGAACGGACAAAGAGGAAAGGUUGGUACAUUUCGAUCAUGCUCGGAAGCAAACUGCUCGUGUUCUUGACACAGGGCGUUUCCAGACGAGCGAGUGGACUUUACAGAUAAGUCCUUAAUUAAUCGAAUAAUUUGCACACGGAUCGUCGUCCCCGGUCAACCUCAGCACGUGGUUAUCCAUCAAACGGAUAGUUUGUUGGCCCAACGAUGAAAUUAUGCUUUGUGAACUAUAUUACGGUCGAUCGAGGCUCUUGGAACUGGGUUACGUGCCUUUUCCACUUAUCCCGCAGAACAGAUCCAAUAUUGACGUAUGUCGGUUAAAAUUAAAUCAUGUUUAAUUCUAAUUAUAAGAAUAUUGAAUCGAUACAUUUUUCCGUUGGGAUCAAACGUUUAAAACGUAGGUAUAUGACUUUAAAAAGGAAAAACACAAGAAAGAAGAUCAAGAAAACGUUUAAAUCCAAAGAAUUGAACAAUCUUUCAGUCAAGGAAUGGGACGAGGAUCAUAUUUCUUAAUCAAUACCGGUCAUUCGCUCGUCUCAUCAUCAUCCGACUUCGAUUCGCAAGAGCGUUUUCGUUAAACCUGUAUACACGAGAUUACAUCAAUCCGUAAUCUCACACGUAACCGAGUUAGAGAGAAAAUAGAUAGAAAUCUCUUCGAAGCCGAGAGAUAAACUUAACGUUUAAUCUCGCGCAUUAAGGAUGUACAUUCACUUAAUUAAACCGUGGACAUCUCUAAGCUAACGAUUCUUCUUUCGGUUCGAGAUGGGUCAUUAGAACGAAACAGAAAAGGAUAGGGGAGCACUAAAAGUGCUCCUCGUUUUUCAUUUCAUCCCACUUUUCGAGAAGUUUAUAUUUCUCGCUAUUGAAAUUUGCGUGCUUUGAUUAAUUAAACGAAUGGAAAGUUGGUCUUUUAAGAAGAAUCGAGGAGGAGAGCUCCUCGAAAGAAAUUAUUAUCCUCCGGUUGAUAUCUCGUAAGUCUUCGCAAGGGAAAGAAAAAAAAAAAAAGAAAAGAAAAGAAAGGAGAAAAAAGAAAAAGAAAAUGGAAAUCUCUCAUAACGAAGGAGGAAAUGAAGCAGCUCGGUGAAUGGAAGCUCUUCUUAAAGUGACCGUUUAAUUAGACAAAUACCGUUAUAGCCGGGACUAACGGCUAAUGCCGCGUUUAUUUACUCCUUGUUUCCGGUCCCAUGGAAUAGCUCCACGCUAUCAGACUAAUCUUCUCUCCAUCCUUGGAAACCAUUUGCGCAAUUCGCCGCUCGCGAUCCAUUAAAAAUGCAUCUUCCCUACCUAAAAGGGUUAUUGGAUUUCCCUUUAAACAGGGAAGAAAAUCCUCUUGAUGAUCUCUUUUGCCAAUUACUCGUUUCGUCCUUCUCCGCUUCUUUCAUUCUUGGAUAAUUUUCAUCACGGUUUGGAAUCGUGACCUCUUUCAAACCAAUCCUUUUCGACUUCGAUACGAAUGUAUCGUGGAACAAGUAUCCCGCGAUUUAACGUGACACGAAGCGAGUCUCUCUCGUUUAAGGAAACAACUCUUCGAAGACCGUACGAAUUUUGGACUCCCUCGGUUCGGACAUUCGGGUCAAGUACCCGCUUAAUGAAACAAUUAACAUCCACCGCAUUUGCAUAUAACAGUUAAACUGAAUUUCCCUAACGAGCCGAGGGGAAGGAACGGAUUAAUCGUGGCUGCAAACUGAAACACGUAGGAUUUUUCGAAUUCAAACGUUUGUUAUUUGUAUAAGGAUGAAAUAUCCGUUUGUUUGGAUAUUAUUUUCUUUUUUCCAUUUAUCCUGCUAAAUAUCGGCGAUUAACCUGGAAACUAGAAUUAUUUUCGGUGCUAUUUGUAGCGCAGAGCUCUCUCCAUUAUCCUCCGUUGAAUUUUCAUCCUCGUAGUCCAGCGAGCAGGGCGAGCAAGCUCCUUAAGACGAUGCGAAGCGUGACGCUAAUUGAAUCCCAUCCUUCUCUCCUUUUUAAUUAAAGCAUAAGUGUUCUAUACUCGUAUGUUAUAUACCCGGUGACCCCGUGGUCUCGAAGGGAUUCAACGUCGAGUUAGUUAGGACACGUCUCGCUUCGAUAAUCUUGAACGAAGAAAACGCGCAAUUAGCCGCGUGACUAAUGGAACCGAAGCUUGAUCGAACAGGUUCGAAACUCGUUGAAAACUUAAGAAAUAACUUCUCGACAUCUCGAAUUCAAAUUAGAAUCUAAAAAGGAAAAUUCGUUUCAAAAUUCCUUCGUUUCAUUUCAUCGACGUGAAAUUCGGGAUAACAAAUUUCCAAAUUCCAAAGAAGAAUUCCACCACGAUCACCGUGGCAUCGCCAUAUCAUCACGGAACGUUCUCGUUCGAUCUCUUCUGUGCGAUAUCUCGGUCGCGGACAGCCCGAGGGCGCGGUACACAAGCGGAGCUAUGUAAUUCCAGGAUAUCUUCGUUACGGGAUGCGCGUUCGGUAGCCGUUCGUGUGUGGGAGGUGGUGCUCGAACGGAUGAAGGAGCAAAGGAGGAGGCAGAAAGGGAGGAGGGGAGGCCGUCUAUUAGUUAGCCGGCAAAUGUGCAGCGAUGUAAGUACACGUUAAGGUGUGCGGUGUCGGUAGAGGAGAAUGGAGAAUGGUUGGGAGGGGAGGGCAUCUUUGAAGGAAGGAGGAAGAGCCUCUGGUUCUGUGGCUCACAUAUGAGAAAGCCGGUGAAAAGCAGCUCAGGGCGCUGGGCUCUAUCUCUCUACACGCUUCUGAACGUGUAUAGGUCUAUGUGUUACAAGGGGGCCUUGUUGGCUCGGUUCCUCCACGCGAAACGAGAUGUUGGAGGGGGGACAAGUUGGGUUGAGCGUUAGGCGUUAACAUGAUAUAUGUUAUUCGCUUAAUUAACCGCUUGUCCGAGCUUCGCAAAACUUUUGAGGGAGGAGAGAGGUGAUUUCAAACCUGGUAUUAUCGCGUACCGUUCUGUUUGGAGGCGGGAGUACAAGAUCGGAGAAAAAUAUUUGAUUAUUGGUCGAGUCAAGUACGUUAACCUUCGAUCUUAAUGUUCGAUUUUAUUUUGGGGAGCAGAUAUGAAUCAAUACGAAUGCAAAAGACUUCGCAUCGAGAAGAACGUUGCUUUUUCUUACGGAUUACAAGUCGUGAAAAUACCAGAAAAAUGGCAAGAAGUAUGCCUACAAUUGUGAUGAAUCGCUCACGCACAAGGAGCGUCAACUGGAUAAUCUCCAGAUCGAGAUGAAAAGAUCCUGGCCGAUAUUUAAUUAUCAUUAGGAAAUUCCAUUAUCCGGCAAACACCAUGGUCGCUAACCAUGGUUAAAUCCUUCAACUAUUUGAGUUAGAAAUUACCGGUCGUAAUUUCAAUGCCGUACUCUAUUCAUGCACUUCUCCCACGAAAGAGGAGAGAGAGAGAGAGAGAGAGAAAGGUUCCACUGUCACACCGCCGUUUAAGGACUUCUCUCUCUCCUAAAGACUGAAACGUGUCUGGCAUAAUUGAAGCGCCUGAAUGGCUGCGCGAAUAUUUCAGCAGUCGGCCAACGUCGAUGUUUUGCACGAUGGAUUAAUUACUAUCUUCAAUAUUUUAUAAUUUCGUUCAGAAAAAGAGGAAGAAGAAGAGGAAGAGAAAGAAAUGAAGAUAUUCGUAAUUCAUCUCGCCACUUGAACAAAGGCAAUUUAACGGUCUAAGCACGUACAAUGGAAUUCUUAAUUUAACAGAGAUUCGCACGAGUGUAGGAGAGAAUAGGGUGGCGAACGAUCGCCAAGUAACAUUAUUACUUACACGUACAUAUGUAAUUGGUAUCCGGUUAGAAGAGUAUUUCUGCAUUAGUUAUAACGAGUAGCCAACUAAUGCCAAGCGUGGCACGCAUUCACGAAGCACAAAGCAGACAGGUAAAGCUGCCGCGCGUUUGUUUCAACCACUGUAUUGCGGUCGGUUGGUAUCCGCUCACUUCGACCUUUAAAACUUUGCAUCGGUAAGACAUCAAAGGCCUCUGUUACACUCGUUGCUAUUGACACUGUGUACCCGUUUCCCGCUAUAUAAAGGUGAAAUUGUGUAAUUGCAUUCUUCGCGGAAACAAGAGUUUCGUGAAGAAACGAGGUAAAUUAACUUAGCCAAUGUUUAAACGCUUUUAACGUGCUUUUAUUGGCUUCGUAGAAAUUUCAUGCAACAAACACCGUUUCUGAACUGUUACUGAACACCUGUACAAGGAUCCUUAAAAAUGUUUCCAAUAUUAUCUUAGACAGAGAAACCAGGACCACGAGAAGAAUACGUUAUAUAAUUUAGACGUUUAUAUCAUCGAAUCCUCGAUCAAAUCAUCCAUACUUUUUCUCAAUAAAAAUUUGAAAAUACGUAUUUGCGAAGCAGGAAUUCGUCUAAAUUAAAUUAAACGAAAAAGAAAGGAAUGUUAUGCGACUUCGUUAUUUUUAGAAUUUAAACUCUGGAAUUAACAAGAAAAUCUCGUUACUCGUCGAGUUGAUGGCUGGAAGAUUCGCAAAACGCAGCUCGAAUUUAUUUCGUCCCAUCCGUGUAAAUUCGCCGGUGAUGAACGAUAAACGUCGGCACGCAGUUUGAAACGCGGGCGUUCAAAAGAAACAUACGCGUAAACGCGCGUCACUGCAACUAUGAAAACAAGAUCAGCCAGCCUCGCCGUAAAUUGUGAAGAAUGUUGGCGAAAAUCGUAGAUAAUAAAGAAAAGCGAGAUGAAAUUUUUAUUGCUUAAAAUUAUAAUGAUAAAAUCUCGAUAUCAAUGUUAAAAUCUUUCAAGCUGUGUUCAAGCACGCUUUAAUUUUCAUGUAAGAUUAAUUUUCAAGUUACUUUCAGCUCUUUAGAAGGUAUUUCUUAUUAUCUACGAGUAGAUUUAAUUUAUUUUUCCUGAUAAAGAAGACACGAAGAAAAUGAGAAAGAUAAAACGUAAUAAAUAAAUGUAACGAAGAAAAAUAUAGAUAUAGAUACAUAUAUCCAAUAAAAAAAAAAGAUAAAGGAUUUUCAAGUUUUACGUACAAUUUAAAAAUGCUGGACCCGAGUUUUAAUUCAAGAAAAUACAAAAAUAAUAAAUUAUAUCGAAUAUAUAAAAAAAAUAAAUACUUGGGAAGUUUUCUCGUAAACAGAGAGCGGCGAGACCGGAGGUAACGAUAAAUUACCUUUUAAGAAACAGCGAUAACAAGUGGAUGCGGUACGUGUUCCUUCUGUUAUCUGAACCGUAUUAGAAGAAUAGAGUUUCGUUUCCCCAAGAAACGGGGCAAUAAAACGUGGAAAGCUGGCAAUCGUGGAUAGAUUAAUAGCUCAUACGAAAAGUUAUCGUCGACUGAUUGUACCGCGGUGACGAGCUGUAAAUGGAACGACAGUGUCAGCUCAGUGUAUCUUCGCGACGCGACCCUCAUAUAUUCAACGAUAAAAAUAUCUCCGCGCGAUUUUUUACAAUCGAGAGUGUCUUUCAGAUAGAGUGGAAAAUGAAUAAAGGAAGAAUGAUGGUGAGUCUAAAAUCAAAUAUAACGAAUUCAGAACGAAUUGAAACUUUUAAUAAGAUAUAAUGGUAUAUUUAGAGAGUCAUAUUUUAUAUAGACUGUGUAGGACAAAUGUAAGAGAAUAUGAUACACAGAACAUAGAAAAAUAAUAUUAUUACAUUUGAUGAUCCGUUUCUUAAAAUAUCUUGCAUUCUAAUCUACUUGUAUUCAAUUAUUCACUAACAGUCAAGAAUUAACGUAAGCUCAAUAUGUUCAAUAUCUCGAAAGAGAUGUUUCGUGUGCUCGAGAUCAUCGUGUCUCCCGUGUAAAUUUAGCCCAACAUCCUGCCCAACCGAGUAAGUGAUCCUGUCUUUGGAAAAAAAACUUUCUACAAAAAAAGAAAAAAAAAAAGUCGGUUCGCUAUAAAUCCAUCGUCGUUCCCCCUUCCUCGUGUACGCGUGUCUACGUCUGAAAUGGAGCGCAUGAGAAGUUUACGUUCACGAUCUGUGAAACUGCUGCCGUUGGAAACGGAUGCCGCGGUCGUCGGCGCGGACACGUCACGCGGAACACGUGUUUAUGCUUUCUCGAGUGUCGCCCCACGCAAGAAAUUAGGGAUAGGAGGAAGAUGGAGUGGAGGAGCGGAAGUGGGUGCGAGCGAGAAAGGGAAAAUGAGGGCGACAUCCCGCUUGUCGAGCUUCCAGUUUGAUCGAUUCGCCAGACGUGCCCCGAUCUCUGACGGCUUUCUUGUGUCCGCUUAAACGAGGAAUUAGCUUUCGUUUAAAAGGGGGAACGUUUUUUCUUCCUCCUCCUUUCCCUCCUCCUCCUCCUCCUUCUUCUUCUUCUUCUCUUCCACGAUUCUUUCAAACUCCGUUGCAGAGCGCGUGUGGACGUUGUCAAAAUCGAGAAAAUGAAAAAUCGAACGAUUUAUUGCACAACAGUGAAAAUAUCGCGAACCAUUGAGAAAACUGGACUGAGAAAAAGAUAUGUAUGUCCCAUAUAACGUCGCGAUAGAACUUAAUACGUAUUAUCUUAAACACUAGGCUCUGUUUUAGGUUGAAAUACGCAAUUAAUGGGGAGGCAGAUGCAAUUAGAGGGGCAUCGAGUUUGGAGUGAAUCGGGAUCAGAGGAGGCGGCGUCCGCGCGAUCGGGACGCGAUAAAACGUUGAAUAAAAGAACAAUUAUUACGCUAUCUGAUUCCAUUGUAUGCAAAUAAGAAUAUAAAUGCGGACUAAUUUCACGUCUGACACCUACAGCAAGGGACAACGGGAGGGAACAAACCGGGAGCCGGGGAAAGAGUCCAUCUUUGCCGCUUCUAUUCAUGCAGUAAAAGCCCAUUAUCGCGCGGACCUGCGAGAAAUAAGAACAGGAAAAGGGGUGGAGGGGGCGCUUGGUCCCCUUAACGCCCCCUCUUCGUUCUUCUUCUUCUUCUUUCCUUUUCUGCUCUCCCCCUCCUCCCCUUUUCUUUGUCUUCUCCCCGCCUCUAAUCCCCGCACAGGCCUCUGAUUCAGACCAAUAACUUGUCCUUUAAUACAAUUAAACACGCCCUCCUCCCGCUGCAAUUACUUAUUCAUCAUCGAGAAAUACAUUAUGAGGAAUCGUGCUACCGCUGACGUGUGCGCUCGCAAUGAAAUGUUCUGGAGAAUCGCGACGCUCUGUUGGGAAAAGAGCGGCGACGAUUCAGCCGCCGAGAGUUUUAAGAGAAAUUAAAUUACGACAGACGUCUUAAUACGGGGGUAUUAAGGGGGGAAUGGAAUUACCGAGGGGGCCGGUUGAGUUGUGCCGCGGGAUAAUUAGUUGUAUAAUUACAUUGCGAUUCCGCCCGUUAUCGGGUUAUGAGAAUUCGAUGAAUGGGAGAGCAGGAAUGGAGCGUUCGCGUUCGUGUAAGGAGGGAAAUUCGAUGAAGAAUGUAAAUCAAGAAUGAGGAAGGAUCUAUAUGGGAUAUCUGUCUUGAGUAUUCGAUGAACGAGAGAGAGAGAGAGAGAGAAAGAGCAACGAGAAAUAGCGUUGUUGUAACGAGAAAAUUCGAUGAGGAAUGUAAAUUAGAAAGGGAGAUCCGUUGGAAAAUGUAUUGUCAUUUCUCAUGGAGAAGAAAUAUCUCUCCUUGAAAUCUUGCGCGUAAAAUUUCUCUCGUUUUGCUUUUAAUUUAUAUCCACCUUCAAAUAUUUCCAAUACCUAUUACAAAUAUUAACCGUGAGAUUGAAUCGAGAGAUUCGAUUUCCAUCUUCCACUCCAUAAUUCCGCAAAUUUCGAAUUUCUCCACCCUUGGCUGGGGAACCAAGCCGGAGGAAUCAGGGAUCAAAUUUUUUUCUCCGCGCCAAAAGACGGGGAUAACAACAAGCAACGUAUUCGAAGAGAAGCAAAAUUUUUAUUUCCAUAUCCGCUUCCAUCAUCCGUCCAACCGCGCCCGUAUCUACGCGAGUAAGAGAAUCACGAUGGGACGAGGGGGAAAAAAAAGAAAAAAAGGGAGGGAGGAGGGGGUUGGAGGAAAACAACUGAACUGAGAGGUCUUUCGAAUUUCUCUUUCACACUUGUCAAUCCUCGAAACGCACUAUCUCGGUGCAGCCAUCAAUCUCGAAACGUCCCCGGGCCGCUACGCCCCGAACGACAUAAAUCCAAUUUCCAGCGUUCCAACCUAGGCAUUCUAUUUACAAACUAUUCCGGGAUACGCGCACCUGACCGAGCCCCGACUGAAUUUUCACCGCGUCCUUUUUCUUCGACACCCCGCGAAAUUCGAUAAACUUUCUUGCUACUUAAAUAGAAUUGACCGAAUCGCGGCCAUUUCCGGACCAUGCAGCUGCGAGAGGUUUAUUUAGAAGGCGUUUUGCGUUAAUUAUUCAAAUGGAUUCUGGAGGAGGGAAGGGGCGCCUCGAUAAAUUACUCUUUUCCCUCCGUUCUCUCCAUUCCGCGCAACCUGGCGCGCUUCUUUUUGGACGAAACGAUUCUUUGAGGGAGGAAGAAAUUAUUUUGUUGGAAAAUUAGAAUAUUUUUACCGAAUGUUCAAAUUAAUUUUCGAUUAUCGUCAAUUUCCAGCGAAUUUUGUGAAAUUUGCCGAAUCACGUAGAAAAUAAUUUUUCCAUUUCAUUCCUCUUUUAAAAUAUGUGUAUGGCAAAUAUAAAAUAUUUGUAAUCGUGCCUUCUAACGAAGCAUUUACUCGUUAAAUAUUUAAUUUUCAUUUUCAAUAUUAAAUAAUCCUUGGUUUUGAUUAAUUUUCGCAACAAGUGCGAUGUAGCACAAAUGAUUUUUUAACCGUUGAGGGGAAAUCGUAAAGUGUUAUCUUUCUCUCUAACCGUCGCUCUCGUCCAAUCGAAGCGUCCAAUUUAUUCUUCCAUUCGUCCAUCGCCUAAUGGAAGAUGUUCCUUAGAUAGAAACAGAUGUCUCGUUCCCCAAGAAUCCAACUCUUUCUCUCGUCAAAUCCUCCAACUCCUCGAGCUCCUCAUUUACUUUCACGCGUUAUCUUGACAGCUACCAUCACAAAAAAACUUCCUUCUAUCGCGUAUCCUGUUACCGUUGGAAUCCCACUAAGGGAAUACAGCGUAAUAACACUACCGUGAAACGUGUGGAAUUAACGUAAUAAAGAAAUCGAUGCUCUUUGGGAAAAAGCUCGAGAUAUCAACGAAUUAAAAAAGGAAGAAAAAAGAAGAAAAAAGAAAGUGACAAGGAAACACUUGGAACACCGACAUUGCGGUGUCAUAGAUUAUAUUGAAAUGUUCUUUGAAGUAAGAAAGACGCAUUGAAACGACGCGUCGUCGCGUGCGAGGAAUCGAUAUUUCUCGAACGAGGCGCGGCUCGAAAAGUCGGGAAAAUCUCGUUCCAUUCGAAGUUUUGGCAAAUAAUAUAAUAUUACACCGUUGGAAUAUCGGAUGUUGAAGCACGAUACGGAGAAUCGCGCAGCUCUGGCAAAAGUUCCGUAUUUGAGAGGCCGGGUAACCCAAUUCCUUUUUCGUUGUUCGACAACAGCUAUCACAUCAUAGCCUCCAUCGAUUAAUUUUGCGAAUUUUGAAAAUUGAAGAUUUGGGAAACGAUAUUGAUAAUGUUGCAGCUAUAUAUUAUAAUAACUUCAGCCUUCCUUUUUUUCUUUCAUAACCGUAUAAAAGUAUAUUUUUUCGUAGGGUAGAGAAUCUAAGAAUCUUUAAUAUUUUUUUCAAUAUCUUUCCCGAUAAAUCAUCUUCACGUAAAAUUCGCGAAAACUAUUUUGAAAGGUCGAAGACAAGGAAGAGUCCACAUAUGAAAUCGGUUAUUAUUUAAAAAUAAGAGAAUAUAUUUUUAUUAUUCUAACAAGGUAAAGAGGAGAUAGGGUAAUCUGAAAGAAAAAUUGACCUGGGGUUAGCCUGUCAAGUACAGAGUCGUUAUCGUGCUCGUCGUUUAAACGCACUGGUGGAUCCCUGUUUCCAGGAUGGAAACGAGAAGCGUUUUUCAGCCAGGAUAAUCGUAGUCUCGCGUAGGUUGCAACGGCCUCCGAUUAAAAAUUGAUCGACCAUUCGAUGGUUAUUCAUCAGGGCCAGUUUUCAGCGGCGCGCAUCUGGCCGAUCGCUAUGAAAGCUUUCUUUGGAACGGUUAUCUUUUAUUCGAGCUAUCGGUUAAAAUUUAUCACUUUUCGUGUGCCUUCUCCACUUCUGCUUGAUCAAGCCGAAACGAAAAUAAUUCGAAAACCGAAUUCUCGAUGAAUCAUUCCACGUUUGAUCUUAUCAUAUCAAGGAAAUACAAUUCUGAUGAUGUUUAUUCGUACAUAUAUUCCAUUCUGUGAAAUUUAAUCAUAAUUAUCAUCGUAUUUAAUCAUACUAUUCAUUUUGAAACUUAUGAUUCCUUCGUUUAGAGAGCGUUGAAGCGUUUGUGCAUCGAUCGAACAAUUUUUCGUGAACUAAUAUAUAAUAAUAUCUAUCUGUAAGAAAUUUAAGUAAAAUUUAAUUAUUAAAAUUAUUUUUCAUUCACUUAAUAUCGUAUCAAGAAAAAUUACAAUCUUCAUUUUUAAUCUUCUUUCUAUUCCAUUCUCGAGAAGAUUUUAUAUCGAUAUCGACGAUUUUUAUAAUUAUAAUUUCCAAGAAUUGAUAGAUUGGAACAAGACUCAUACGUGUCCAGUGAUUUUUAACUCGAGCCAAAAUAAGUCAUAUACAACGAGAGAUUGGACCACGAACACUUGGCAAGUAUGCAUGGACAUUUUAAAGAAUUUAUUGGAGGACCAAUAAACGAUUCGAGCUCGUUCCGAAUUAAGAUGUAAUUUAGUGGCGUGUAUCGGUCCUCGUUUUUAUUAAAAGAUAAACACCAUGUUGAAUCGAAAACAGAUGACUCUUUCCGUGUUCUUACGUCGAUCGUUAAAAGGCUUACUUUAUGCUGAUUAACCAUCGAGACAUGGAUCUGGGAGAGGCGGGGUACCGUGCAUAAAUACACGGGUUUUUUGCUUGUAUGAAUAUGCAUGAAUAUUAAUGAAACCGCUACGACACCGUAUCUACUGCGUUCUCGAAAUGUCACUCUUCCAACGAUUGAUUAGCAAAUUGAAAUUCUCGAUCAUUUCGUUGCGUCGAUCCUAAUUUGUACUUUUCGUGUCGAUAUUGUUUAAAAUUAUUUAAGAAAUUACUAGAUAAAGUAUUAAAUAAUUUAAGUUUGAGAGGAUACGUAAUUAUCUGAUCAAUUAUUUAAGAUAAAGAUAAGAGGAAUGAGAAACAAUUUUUGAAAGAAAGUUGAGUUUUAUAAUUGAGACUAUAUUAUUCAUUUUCUCUAAUAUUUUUAUAUUUGAAAUUUUUGUAUCGUGUCUUCGUUUUUUUCUUUUUUUUUUAUUUGAUUAAGAUGAAUGAUUGGUAAGGAUAUAAAAUUAUAAAUUUUAAUUAUAAAUUCUCACACACAGGGGAUAAAAAAUUGGAUUCAUAACAAAUCACCUUAUUUCACGGCUGAUUGUUAAUCAAUGAGCCAGCGGAUCGUUUUCUCCUUUGUAUUUUUCACCGUUCGUUAUUCCCUGUGAAUCUCCAAUAAGCUUCUUCUUCGAAUAAUUUCGAAACCGAAUUUAAAUAAAACGUGAUAAUUUUUUACUCGAUCCCAAAAAUUCGGAAUUUUCCAAUCGCGACCAUUGAAACCACAGCAUCCUUGAGAACUCGUUGCGGAACGGAACAAGUCCCAGAUCAAUAAAGUCUUGGGCUAUUUCGAUCGCAUCUAAAAUUCCACCGAUAAUCUUCACCCACGCGCUAUUUCAAUUUCAUAUAAAUAUUUAACUUAUUUAAAUAGAAGCUUUAAAUAGAACCACGUUUCCUCGAUCCUCGAAUAACUCGUUCGAGUAAUUCGAUGAAAAAUUAUCAAAAAAUUCCAAGUUUCGUAACUUCGUUAAAAUAUAUUCACUCGGAUCGAAAUUUUAAUGUAUCUCGAACAAAUUUUGAAGUUAUGGAAAUUAUGGAAAAUUAUAAAAGUUUAAUAAUUUCUCAUCGUUACUCGAGCAUCUAUCAUCCAACCAUCCUAUUCGAUGAUUAGAGAUUGCGCUUACAUUUCUAUAUCGUCGUUUAAAAAUUUCUUUCUCGAAAUCCCUCCCUCCAAGGAAUAAUUUCCUUUCGUUCUCGCUUUUUUCCAACCCCGCAAAUAAAUCUGCCUCGACUAGCGACACGAUUUCCCGAAUCCCAACGGUCCUCCUGGAAGCAUUACAUCUUACAUCACGACGGAAGGAGAACGGAACCAUGGUCCCAGGACAAGGAGGUGGAACUUUGAGCGGUCUAAUUUCUCGAUGGUCGAUGGCUGCACCCUUUCCAAGACGACUUUCGAGCCUUCCAACCCAACUUUCUCUCCGUUACAUCAUUCUGGGUAGAGUAAAACCAGCAUCGCAUCCUGACUAAAAAAGACCUAUUGAUUAUUUUUUGGAGUUGAAAAUAAUCGCGUGAAUAUUUCACGGAUAUUGUCUUUAAAUUCUCGAGGGCAAUGGUGUAUCGAGUGAUUUCAAUAAACAGCCGUAUUUCGCUACGAUAUUUACAAACAUUUUCCCCGGCCAAUUCGUGGAACACUUUCUCGUUCGCAAAAUGUCAACAUUCGCCGGCGAUACAGUUUAUAAAUUCUUCAGUCGAGGAGUUUCGUUCGACGAGUAAAGUAAUCGUGGAAAGCGUCUUUUAAUUAUUCGUAAAGAAUAAUUAAUUUAAUUCGUUAAGAAAAUAGAAUAAUCGUUAAGAAUAAAUAGCUAUCGGUUAAAAUAAUCGAAUUAUUUUUAUAAUUAUUUUAACAAAUUAAUACAAUUGGAUAGUGUAAUUUCGGUGCACAGUGUUAAAAUUAAAUCAUCAGCAAUUAUCCAUUUCUAAAAGAAUAUUUCAAUUCAACGAAUCCAACGAACUCUCAACGUUCUUUAAGCCACGAUUUCCCUUCUCAAUAAUCAAGAAACCGUCAUUACGUCGAAAGAAAGCGACACAACGAUAUCAAACGAAACAAAUAAAUUCAGAAAAAUCUAGAAAUUCUAAAUCAAUUCUCCAGAAUUCCCCCAAUAAAUCGAAGAAAUCUACAAUCUCCGUAUCGGAAUCGAAACGAUGGAAAAAUCGGAAGAAAGAGAUGCUCUCUGAUCGCCGAGAUGGAGAAAUCGAAUCCGAUAAAUGCGACGCAGGCAUAAGAGGGGGCGAGAAACAAUAAUGGAGCGAAGGUUUAAACAAAAUAGCCGUUGUCCGCGGAAAGGAUAAUUGGAACGUUUCGAGCGAGCACCUCGAGGGAACGAUCGGCGAGCAAAUCGAUCGAGAAGCAAUUGUUUCGUCCGUUUUCGCGCAUGCACACCUGCCGUUCUUUGAUUCGUUCACUCGAUGGAACGAGUUAAAGCGAUUAGGUCAACGAGGGAAGGGCCCUUUGUUUCCACGCGAACGUUUGGUAAAUUUACAUCGGUUAACUGGUGAUAGAUAAAGCGGAUCGAUUCGUGGUCGAAUUGAAAAAACGUCACGCGGGAUCGGUCGUUAAGGUAACUCGUUCACCUCGUUACGAUGGAUUUGCCGCUCUUUGCCCUACGCGGAUUAUCAUACCUGAUCGUGAUUCCCCCCUCAGAUAUCAUCUCUUGUUAUUAGUGAGUGGAUUUAUAAAUUUGUCGUUGGUUCGUCCCCGACUGGGACAAUGUAAAAAGUUAUUUUUUUACUUCGUGUGUAGAUAAAGUGUGAUAAAGUGAAUCGAGAAGAGGAAAAGAAAGGCUAAUGGUAAAAGGAAAUGAUAGAUUGUGAAUAAUGAUCGUGUUUUUUUUUUUUUUUAGGCAAAUAAACGUGCAAUUUGAUACAUAUAGAUUUUGUAUUUUAUAUUUUAA